CACUGAGCAAUGAACCGUGAAAAUGAAGUCAAGGUCAAAUAAAACCUGUGAGAUUGACAUGUAAAUCAUGAAAUAUUUCCAUACACUAAAUAUAUUUGACCUAUUGCAGUUAUUCCAAUUGUAUUAGAAAGAAAUGCCAUAACACAAAAUCCUUCAUUACAUAAGGCAUCUAUACACAAAGUAUGAAGCAUCCAGGUUUUCCAUCUUCUAAAUUUAACGCUUAUAAGAAGCUAGCUAGCUAACUAAUGUAGCCGCCAGAUCACUAUCCCUAUGUCAAGCUUUUUGAGACAAAAGUAAAAAAAAAAAACCCUGUUUAAAUGAUAAAGCAAUAAAACUAGCUGUUUAUUUAUCCCUCAAUUUAUUUGGAUUUCAUAAAAUAUUUAAUCACAAUUACAUUUUCAAAUUAUUCUAAAUUGAUAAAAGAAUGAAUAAUUUCAACUACCUAUCAUUUCCCAAUUAAAUUUAAAAUAACAAUAAGAAUUCUGAUAAUAUGCACUAAUAAGUUGUUUUCGAAUUAAACGAUAUUGAAGAAUCAGAAUAGAGAAUGGAAACAUGGAAUGUGUCAAAAAGCCAGACCAAAGAGAAGAACAGAGCCGAAAGGCCACAAAUGGGACUUAAAUACAGCAAGAAAAUUCUGCACCCAGAGGUGGGCUUCAGCUGGACCCUAAACUAUAAUGUAUAUUAGUUAAGCAAAAUGGGGGGAUACUUAACAUGCAACAUAUUGAUGAACCAAAAUUUAAAAAAAACCCACAGAAAAACAACAAAGUUUCUGAGUCCUGAGUCUUUUUUUUUAAAUACUGGUUCAUUUGUUUGGUUGUGAGUUUAGCGAGGCUUUUUUUUCCCUCUAGUUUACAUUUAUUGUUUAGGAGCCAGCUGAAGCCAACCUCAAGUUGAGGGAUUUUCUUGCUGCAUUGAAAACCCAUUGUUGCUUUUUUGGACACAUUCCCUGCUUAAAAUCUCUAUCAAAAUUAAAUCAUUUAUGUGUUACAAUUCUUCUUCUUAAGAGCAGGAUUGUAAAACAAAACAUGACUGCAGAAUUUUUAGUAUGUGGAAUUAAAAUGAUCUGAAAUUCAUCAAAGAAAAGGAAAGAAUCAAUUACAUUUAAUUAAGCUAAAUUAAAAUUGUGUGUGUCUCCAUUUUUUAACAGAAAAUUGAAAUUCACUAGACUUUGAUACUUUGCACUGUAUAAAUGAAAUUUGCUUUACAUAGGUGUCUGAUGUGGAAAAUUAAUGUUUGGUCUUAAUAAGAAAUUGCAAUCCCAAUAUUUGGUAAUUCUGCAUGGAUAAACCUGUUAAUAGUUAGUAAACAGUUAUCAAAGGUACCAGAAAGUUGACCACGUUUUAAACAAACAUAUAACCAUAUCUUUUAUGUUUUAAGCAUAAUUGAUGAAAAUGUUCUUGAUAAUAAAAAAAGAUUCACACACAAAACUUACUAAGCUACUAACCUAUUAAUUAUCAUAAAAAUACACUCACUGUAUAAUAUAAAUCUAUGAGAUUAUAUUCUGCUCUUGUUUUUAAAACAGACAUUGUAAAACAGAGAUUCGUAGACAUUACAGACCUAAAGUAAAGGCAGAUCUUUUAAUAAAAAAAUAUUAAUAAUAUAAACUAAUGAAUUCAUUAUAACAGUAGCACUAUAUUAAAAACUAAUAACAGUUUAAAAAAAGUCCAAUACAGCUUUCAAAAGAUUAUGAGAAAAUACAGGUUUAACAGAUAGUUGGUUGGACAAUCAACUGUAAACUUCAUUUUUUGUUUAAUAAAAACAUAAACCAAUCAAAAUGUUAUCAAAUAUUCUGAGAGACGUUAGAACAAAAACUAUGUUUUCCUAAGACUAAUACUUAUAUAUUAUAUAUUUUUGUAUGUAUGCUUCUGAAAAAAAUUAGUAUCCAAAUAUAUGCUUAAUUUAUAAUAAAUAUGCAUCAGUAAAUAUCUAUCAAAGAAGAUAAGUAAGGAAUGCUUUCAUAUACAUACAUGUUGUUCAAAAGAGACACAUAUGAACAAAAUUAAUACUGAACUUAUAAUACAUCACAAAGGAAAGUGAUCAUGAUUUGAAAAGAAGUCGUCAAUAAAACGGGAAAAUAAUUAAAUACUCAGGGAUCAACAAUAAACAUGGUUUCCCCUUUUAAAUGUCGGAAAAUUGACAUUCUAAGCUGCCUUAAAUUUGGUCAAAACUCCCUCAUACACCAUACACGUUGACAUUUAUUUUAAAUAACUUGUUAUGCAAGAAAAUAUUGUUUUUGAUUAUAAAAAAAUGUUCUGAUAAAUAGGUAACAUUUGUAAUAUUCUUAUCAGAUAAAUUCCUGACCUUUAGGAUUGAAAUCAAAACAUAUAAUUUCCAAUAUUUUUAAAUAAAAAGAAUAUUAAACAAUUGUCUUCUUUGGCUUCAUAAUAAUUAUUGUUGAUUGUCUAUAGUAAUGAUUGAUUGAUGUUUAACACAAUUUUUAGUACUAUUGGCUUUUCAUGGCAGUCCGUUUUUAUUGGUGGAGGAAGUCAAGAGUGCCUGGAGAGGAACUACAACCUAUUGCAUGAAAACUGAUAAUCCUUGUCAAUUAAGAUAGAUUGGAGUUGAACACUUGUAGGGUUUAAACUCACACCCUAAAUGUUGACUGGCUAGUGAUACAGUAGUUAAACUCCUUAGACCGCUUGGACAUUGUUGUCAUAAUGAAAUUUUGGUCAGUCAGUUUAUAAUAUAUUCAGACAACGAUUAGAUUUAUGUUACAUUUCAAUUAAAAAAAAAAUGAAAGCUAUGAAAAACUGAAUGUUAAAUUGGAAUUUACACAUUACAACCGCAUAGUUAUACUUAUAUCAUAAUACCAACAUCUUUCUCACCUUUUUACAAAUAUCCCAUUUGUGUUAAUAAAAAAAAAAAAAAUUCACAGCUAUAAAUGUUCCCUAAUGUAAAAUUUACAUUUAAUAAUCAAACAUCCAAUUUCAUAACAACAAAAUUUUGUUUUUACCUAUUAUUCCUUAACAACAUAUUUCCAACAAUUAAAAUACCUUUUAACACCUCUUUCACUAAAAAUGGCACAAUAAACAGCACGUAAAAUUAAAGAUUGGUUUGUUGUCAAAAUUUUUAACAAAAAAUAUGGCAUUUAUCAUUUAUAAGAUAUAAUCAUCUGAAUACUAUAAAUAUAGUGUCCCACUAAACAUAGAGAUAUGGUCUACCAAAAUCACAAUUAUUAUCAUACUUUCAAAAAAUAAAAUUAUGUGUUUUUCAUUUAUAAUAAAUAUAGUAUAUAGAUAUAAAAAGAUGUGGUAUGAGCACCAAUGAGACAACUCCAUCCAAGUCACAAUUUAUAUAAGUAAACCAUUAUAGGUCAAAGUACAGUCUUCAACACAGAGUUAUAUGUAUAGUAUAAUUUUAACAAAUGUAUUUUAAUUCUUGUUAAUAAAAAAAUGUUGACCUUUCAACUUUAACAAUUGUGGAUUAAUCGUUUGAUAAGGUUUGAUUUUCACCAUCUAUGCAUGGUGACAAUUUCAAGUCAUUUAAAGUUUUAAAAUUCUAAAUGUCAAAUUAUUUUCUCAAACAUGCUAUAUAAUAAAGAAUAAGAAUGAAUGUCCAUAAGACACCAAGUCCUGCUCGUAAUAACAUAUCUCAAUGUUCAGAGAACUUCAUGGUAAACUACUCAACUUUAUAAAGUUAUGCAUGAUAUGCAUGAUUAGAAUGUUCAGGGACUUGUGACAUCUGGGUCAAAACCCUAAGCAGUUGUAUAAAAUUAUUCAUAUAUAGCCAUUAAAUAAAUAUAAAGUCCUUAUAUGAAAUAGAUACAAUAUCUUAUAUAUUGCUUCAAGUAUAAGUAUAUAAAAAAAUUUGUAAGGGUUCCACGGAACCCAGUGUCUCACCUACUUUUUCUGUUAAUCGCAGACUCAACAAAAAAAAUUUCCCUCACGAUACUGUCUUUUGAUUGAAAGAAGCUUCCAAGUUUGGUAAAAAAAAUCCAGGAUAGUUUAUGAAUCUAAUAAAUGUUUUAUAAACUUUAACUGCAGACUGUAUGUAAUGUUAACUGGAAGAAAAACUAAGUCCAUUUAUAAGUAAAAU
RNAcentral lists this long non-coding RNA (4035 nucleotides) under Mytilus galloprovincialis (Mediterranean mussel). The record is from RNAcentral. Lineage: Eukaryota; Metazoa; Mollusca; Bivalvia; Mytilida; Mytilidae.